UACGUAGGGGGCAAGCGUUAUCCGGAUUUACUGGGUGUAAAGGGAGCGUAGGCGGUCUGACAAGUCAGAAGUGAAAGCCCGGGGCUCAACCUCGGGACUGCUUUUGAAACUGCCGGACUAGAUUGCAGGAGAGGUAAGUGGAAUUCCUGGUGUAGCGGUGAAAUGCGUAGAUAUUAGGAGGAACACCAGUGGCGAAGGCGGCUUACUGGACUGUAAAUGCCG
Molecule: ribosomal RNA, 222 nt
Filed under: uncultured bacterium
Lineage: Bacteria
Description: partial 16S ribosomal RNA
Rfam family: Bacterial small subunit ribosomal RNA
Source: RNAcentral